CGGCCGCGUCCUCGGGCCGAGCGGAGCGGGUGGCGGCGCCGCCUUCCCCCACAGCUCUCGCUUGAGAGGUGCCCGCCCCACGCUGCUGCUGAUUGGGGCGGAGACGGAGAGUUGUGGGGUGAGGGGGGGAGUGAAGUGUGUGUGUGUUUGUGUUUGUGUGUGUGUGUGUGUGUGUGUGUGUGGGUAAACAAGGGUGGGUGGGUGUCUGCUCCCCCUCGGACUCGUUCCGGAGCACACAGCUCUAAGCGAUGCCCGACACCGGCUCCCACCACACACUUGUUACGUUGUUGGAUAAGUUGCUCUGUGUUUUCUUGCAUUCCAGCUCUUGGAUGUGGGGAAAUGUGUGUUUUCAUUAUAGUUUCUGUAAUUAGCUGUAAUGUCUGUAAUAGGAAGUAAUGGAGAGAUCGGUACUUGUUCUGUGCUGAGCCCAAGGAGGGCCCUAUGUCAUUUGUUGCAGAAAUGUUGAGACCCAUGAGGAGUUCCUGCGGGUGUCUCCCAUGAUUCCAAAGAACAAUGUUAUUAAUCCAGUUACAACAUAGAAAGGUGAAUGGCUUUGCACACAAUGUUGCAAGACUUGUGGCUCGUUACUUCUGCUUAUCAACAGCCUGUAUUAGGCACAUCUUAACCUUUCCUGCAAGAGUAAUAACCUUAAUAGAAGGUUAAUAAUAGAAGGAAAACACAAUUCUAGUUCAGUAUCACACGUGACAUAAAAUGGAAAGGAAAUUGUAGAGGCAAGUGAUGAAUCUGCUGUGGGAGCACAGGUGAAGGUAAUUCAUCUGAGCUACAGGAAGGGGUGGAGGUUGACUCUACCUCUCGUAGAUCCCAUUUAAGGGCUGACCACCAGCAAGAUCAUAGUUGGGUUAUUCUGUAAACAGGGAAACUUUCCUGCUCACCCCAUAUCAGUCAAAUAAGAAAAUGAAAGGAUAUUACUCUAUGUCUAGAGAACAAAAAUUCCUGAUUCUGCUUACAGCAUGGAUCAGAAAUUCCAAGCUUUCUAAGAUUUCUGCCUUAAAUCCUUGGGUGCAGAGAAAUACAUAGUCACAGCUUGAAGCAGUGAUUGAACAACUGGUGGGAAGGCAGGGCCAACCAGGGGAGCUCAGGUCCAUGCAAGGCACCUGAGUGAUUAGAAGGGGUGGAGACAGGAUCCAUUCUUCCUCAGACCUCAUUUAAGGAUUGGCAAUGAAGGCAAAGGUAUCUUGGUGGAGGUAUCUGCAUACCUGAAGUCUUCUGUAGAGUGAGAGCAAUCAGUUGUCCAGCAGCAAGACUACAAUCAAGAUUAAACCUGGAACUGACGAAAUUAGAAUGUGGAAGGGAGAGGUACACUGCAGUGACUUAUGUAAGAACCCAGCUGCCAACUGAUAUGCAAUAGUUACAGCCAAAUGUAAGUUUGUCUUGGAAAUAUCUGCUCGUGAUAUGCAAAAGAGUAUGGAUCAUGUUUCCCUCUCUAAGGAUAGUAAUCCUACAGUAUUGAAACCUCCAAAAGGAUAAACUGGAUCAUGCUGUUGCAGUUACAGUAAUUAAAGUAUAAUAGAUGACUACAGAAGCAUAGAACUGCCCAGAUUGGAAGGAACCUCAGAAGAUUAUCAGGUUCAACUUUUCCUGGGACAAAGGAGCCUAGGACACAACUGUGAGCUGGUGCUACACUGCAAAGUGAUACAAUAUACUGCUGAAGCCAUUGUCAGAAUUUCAGUCUGAAAUUUUGAGAUAAAAGGACAAGUGCAAAGAGAACUACCUGAUAAGUCUGAAAGGUCAAAGUGUGAAUGUGCCCAGCACCUGAGAUCAACUCCCCACUAAAAUCAGUGGAUCCAGUUGUUGAGUUCUCAUUCAGUCCUUUCUCAGGCAAAACACUGAGUCGUGAUCCAACUUUGUACACGACACAUGAAGCACCGUCUAUCUGGAUUUGGCUAGUGUCAGUUGCUUCUCUUGUUUUAAGCGGUAUUUCCUUGAACUUACCUACACACGGCUACAAUUACUUAUGAAUUCUGAUAACUUUAACAAAAGUUUUGAGUACCGUGUUUCAAAAGAAUCAGUCUGUUCAGAAAGCUUCAAGGUCAUAGAGAACAGCAUGCCUUUGUGUCGCAUGAGGGCUCUCAUGCUGCUUUACCAACUUGAAGCUGAAGUGCUGUGUGAAUCACUGACCUUGAGGGAAUCCUUGUGGUAAACACUGCUGUACCUGCUAAAUCUUUGGGCUGUAAUUGGACAUUGUUAACAAGGAUGCUGUAUGUGGCAUUCAAUCGAGGAAGGUUCAUAAACCACUGCAAAUGAGAAAGUGAACCUACCAGUUUAAUCUUAAUCGCCGACAUUGGUCAUGGAUCACUGCUUGUUCUGUUUUUUUCUUCCAGUAAAGUUAUUCUAAUUUGCAAGAACGCUGCCUUCUGCUUCCUCCCGAAUUUGCCCUUCAGCACACAUUUGUUGCAGUAACAUUUUGAACCUGCCGACUUGUUAUUAAGCACUCUGGACCCUUUUGAUUUUCCAGAAGUAUUUCUUUAAGUGAUAUUCAUUUGCGCUGUGCAUCUCAUAUUUCUAAUACGUCUUUAAGGAGUUACCAUCCUGCCUGCAAACGUCUUACAUUUCUUUCUACUGCUUUUACUUUCCUGUAAAAAAAGUACUGUAAAAAGUACUGUAAAAAAAGUGAAAGUACUUUUCACUGUAGUGAUGGAUUUCUGUUUCUUGGUCUCUGUGUGGACCUAAAUACAUUUUGGCCACUGUGUGCUGCUCUCACAGUAAUGUCUCACGUACAGCUUGAUGUUAGGGAAAGAAUUUUCUUUUGUGCACUGUGUUAACUGUUCUUCUAGUUGCACUGUGUCAACUAUUUGUGAAUGAAAUCCUGACAUGAUAGAAAGGCUUUUUGAACAAACCAGCUACUCCAGUUUUCACUAUUUCUGGUUUUAUUCCUUAUAUGUUACUUAUUUUAUUGGGGAAGACAUCGAUAAAUAAGAGAUUAAAAAAU
Non-coding RNA from Coturnix japonica (Japanese quail), 2950 nucleotides. The record is from RefSeq and is a predicted model, not a curated record. NCBI's taxonomy places the organism in Eukaryota, Metazoa, Chordata, Aves, Galliformes, Phasianidae.